GAUGAACGCUAGCGGCAGGCCUGACACAUGCAAGUCGAGGGGCAGCACAGAAACAGCAAUGUUUUGGUGGCGACCGGCGGACGGGUGCGUAACGCGUAUACAACCUACCUUUAACAGGGGGAUAACGGAGAGAAAUUUCCCACUAAUACCCCAUAACAUCGAUCAAGGCAUCUUGAUUGGUUGAAAACUCCGGUGGUUAAAGAUUGUUAUUCGUUGUAUUAGGUAGUUGAUGAGGUAAUGGCUCACCAAACCUACGAUACAUAGGGGGACUGAGAGGGUAGCCCCCCACACUGGUACUGAGACACGGACCAGAAUCCUACGGGAGGCAGCAGUGAGGAAUAUUGGUCAAUGGGGGCAACCCUGAACCAGCCAUGCCGCGUGCAGGAAGACGGCUCUAUGAGUUGUAAACUGCUUUUAAACAGGGAUAAAGCACAGUAUGUAUACUGUGUUGAAGGUACUGUAAGAAUAAGGAUCGGCUAACUCCGUGCCAGCCGCCGCCGUAA
RNAcentral lists this ribosomal RNA (503 nucleotides) under uncultured bacterium. Its description in RNAcentral is "partial 16S ribosomal RNA". It matches the Rfam family "Bacterial small subunit ribosomal RNA", at positions 28 to 523 of the family's 1533-position model. The record is from RNAcentral.